GCAUCGGUGGUUUAGUGGUAAAAUUAGCCGUUGCCAAGACUUUGGCGUCAAGACUGUCGGCUAGCCCCGGGUUCGAUUCCCGGCCGAUGCA
This is a non-coding RNA of Byssothecium circinans, 91 nucleotides long. NCBI's taxonomy places the organism in Eukaryota, Fungi, Ascomycota, Dothideomycetes, Pleosporales, Massarinaceae. The record is from the annotation of a GenBank genome assembly.